RNAcentral lists this ribosomal RNA (231 nucleotides) under uncultured bacterium. Its description in RNAcentral is "partial 16S ribosomal RNA". It matches the Rfam family "Bacterial small subunit ribosomal RNA", at positions 118 to 347 of the family's 1533-position model. The record is from RNAcentral.
UGAGUAACCUGCCCUUCACUCUGGGAUAACUCCGGGAAACCGGGGCUAAUACUGGAUAAGACUCGAACAGGCAUCUGUUUCGGGUGGAAAGAUUUAUUGGUGGAGGAUGGACUCGCGGCCUAUCAGCUUGUUGGUGAGGUAAUGGCUCACCAAGGCGACGACGGGUAGCCGGCCUGAGAGGGCGAUCGGCCACACUGGGACUGAGACACGGCCCAGACUCCUACGGGAGCA